This is a non-coding RNA of Camelina sativa (false flax), 4195 nucleotides long. NCBI's taxonomy places the organism in Eukaryota, Viridiplantae, Streptophyta, Magnoliopsida, Brassicales, Brassicaceae. The record is from RefSeq and is a predicted model, not a curated record.
UUUGCUAUCAUUCUAGGCAAUUCAAAACAAUUGAUGGUUCACCGGCUUACGUUGACGGCGUGAUGGACGUGAUUCAAGUGGAUCCUGGUGUUAUAUUCGCAGAUGUGAUAUUGAAGUUGCUUGAUAAGAGGAUUGACAUUGGCAGAAUGUGGUACAAGCUACCAUUUGAAUAUUUAGGAGAGAAGCAUCCUCUCUGGGAAAAUGUGGAUGCAAAUAAGAAAAAGAUGCAGGCAGCAGGGCGUUGGAUGAGAGAGCUGGACAUUUAUGUUGAGAAACCAUUUGUUGAGGAGUUACAAAUGGAGAUUGGCACAAUGUUACCUCAAGAUAAUCAGAGUGAUGGAGAAAAUGACCCGACAUAUGAACCUGAAAGUGAAAAUGAUGCAUUAGAUGAUGACGCUAGUGAUGAAGAAGAUGGUUUAUCUGAUAAUGCAGAAUCAGCGGAUGAGGAUGAGGUUGGUGAAGGAGAUAUAGAGGUGUUUAACCAUGACAGUUAUGAAGAACAAAUUCCAGAUGAGGAUGAUGUCUACCCUCCUACUGAUGAUUCGUCUGGUGAUGAAGAAGAAUAGGCAGAGAGGUUAGUCAAACGAAACUUACCUGAUGGUGUGUUCAGCACAAGGCAAAUAUUUUCUAGUGGUCAGGAGUUUAAGCAGAAUGUGAUCAAAUAUAUAUUGAAGACAAGGAAAAACGUUGUGUAUGAUAGAUGGGAAAAGGAAAGACUUCGUGCUAAGUGUUUUGAAAAAGGCUGUGGAUGGCAUAUAUAUUGUGCCAUUGAGAAUCCAAUAGGGAAAUGGAUGGUGAAAACAUACUAUGAUGAGCAUCAAUGUCAUCCGGUGGGAAGAUGUAAGCAAAUAAAGAGCUCUGUGGUUGUGGACUUAUUUCUUGAAGACAUAAGAAGAGACCCUGAGAUGAGUGCUCCGGAGAUCAAAGACGAGAUGAAGAGGAGAUACAACAUUAUCAUCACACCUUCACAGUCACAAUCAGCAAGAAGAAGGGCAGUUAAGAAGCGGCAAGACAAAUGCAAUGAGCAGUUUUCAAGGCUUAGGGAUUAUCAAUAUCAACUCACCAAGACAAUGGUCGGUAGUACAGUGGAAAUUAACACUACAGCCAGAGCAGAUGGAACAGAUGAAUUCGCAAAAUGAGAGAUCUUACCUCAUUGUAACGAGAUUCGAGUUCGAUUCAUGAUAUAGGAAAAAGAAGGUCAAUAAGAUAAACACGUGGAGGGCUGAGAUUAGAAGUUUAAAUCAAUGGCUGAGAUUAGCUUGAGCUCAAAGAUGCUUAAAGAGAAGCAACAAGCUGAACUGGAUCAUUCAUGAGAUUUGUGUGUUGAGUGUUAUCUUCUUCUUCUUCUUAGUUUCUUAAAUCUGUGAUCAUGGUGUUGUACUCAUCUAGCUAGAUCUGUUUCUUCUAUCUAUGCUCAAGCUUGUGAGAUUUGGAUUCUCGUUUUAAGAACGACGAUUUAAUUUGUGUUUGAUUUUCAAGUAUUCGAUUAAGUUGCAGUUUCUCUGCAACAAAGGUAUCAGAUCCAUUCGAUUCUCCGGAAGCCAUGGCGGAAACAAGAGCUCACUCAUCGCGGAAGGAGGCACUAGUUCGUGAUUUAGAUGAAUCAAGGUUCGGGCGAUCCAAUCACGCCGCUGUUCGUAAUCGAUUUCGAUCUUCACAAGCAUUUGCGAGUUUAACUUCAGAUCCGAAAUUUGGGAAGUGCUCAGGUAUUCCUAACUCUUACGAUGAUGCUACACAGACUGAGAAAUUAUAUUUCCCUAGGUUUAAUGGUGAUACGAUUCAAGAGUGGUUGGUCCUCGUCGAGCAAUUCUUUGAGAUAGACCGAACAAUGGAUGAGUUGAAAGUAGGUUUAGCAUCUGUUCAUUUAGAUGCUCUCGCAACUACUUGUCACCAAUCACUUUCACAAUCAGUUUUGUGGGAUCAUGUUAAAUGUAAUUAGGGGCUUUACAAAAUGCUAUUGGAAGGUAAAUAUUAUAAGCUGAUGGAUGAUAUUGCAGAACUGAAACAGUUGCAUGAAACAGAAGGAAUUGAGGAGUAUCGUGAAAAAUUUGUGUUGAUUAAGUCUCGUUUGGACCUAUCUGAAUCAUACUUGGUUAGUGUUUAUUUAGAAGGGCUGAGAAGUGAUACUUAAAGGAAUGUUAGGAUGUUUCAACCUCAGACAAUUCAGCAGUGUUUAUUGAUAGGAAGGUUAUAUGAGACUGCUCAUCCAACAAGAGUGAUUACCAAAAAAGAGAGUGAUGAUUUUCCAAAGGCAGCUCAGCCCUCAAAUGUUUCAAGUCAACCUGAGGAUUUUAGCAAUUGGUCUGGUGCUAAAUGGAGUAGAAGUAGCAUUCAAUAUAAAGGGAUUUUAGCAUCCAAACCAGAGCAUGAUCAUCAAACAGUUCUUCCUACUAUGGAGAAACCUAAAGAUGAAGUACAUGUGGUGAAGGUUGCAUUGGAGGAUACCAAAGUUAGAGCUUAUAUUUCUGUUAUGCCAUUUCAAGAGUUUUUGAUCACCAAUCGAUGAGGGUGAAGGGUUCUUAUGGGAAACAAGUCUUGUCUAUUCUCAUUGACUCUCAUUCUACACACAACUUCAUGGAUACCAAGGUGGCUGAGAAGUUGAAUUGUGUUUUAGAAUCUGCAAGUAUUGCUCAAGUUUCAGUAACAGAUGGGAGAUUGUUGGGGGUUGAUGCUACAAUAGAUAAGUUCCAAUGGGAGUUUAGAGGCACAACGUUUCAGGCUGAUCUUGUGGUUCUUCCUUUGGUUGGGUGUGAUAUGGUGUUAGGCAAUCAAUGGUUGGACACUUUGGGGCCAAUAACUUGUGAUUUUAAGAAGUUAGUGAUGCAUUUUCAUAUAGGACAUAAGAAAAUUCUUCUUCAGGGUAUUAGGCAAGGUUCUGUUAGAGACAAGAAGGCCAUUAAGCUUAAUAAGCUGAGGGAAGCUCAACUUUCCAUGAUAGGUGUUCCUGAAGUUCCUGCCAAAGAACAUAUGUUAGUGUGCUCUUUGAAAGCUAAACAUCAAUCUGACCAAGAAAGUUCUAAAGAGGAGCAAAGGGUUCAACAAGAGUCUUUGGGUGGGGGAAAGAAACUGUUGCCUAAGCUGUUAGAUGAAGUUUAUAUGACUAUGAUCAUAGAUGAUCAACAACCUGUUGUCCCAUAAACUUUGAGUCCAGUCUUUGAUGAUUUCUCUUUGGAAGUGGCUGAGUUUUGUAAGUAUUAUAGGUGGAAGCAACUACUCUCUCCAAAAUCUUGGAUGUUCAAAUACAGAUCUGCUAAGGAAAAUAUAUGGUGUCGUGAAAAGCAAAGUUGGUUCAACACUUGGAGAAAAAACGUACGCGGGAAGAACAUCGAUAAUGUUGGUGUGGAAAACUGUUUGCAGCAACAAGAAUGGAACGUGAUAGGGCGUUCCAAAUAAAGCACAAAUGGCGUUGUAAACUCUUGCCAUUGUUCUUAGAGUUGAAGACUGGUUGUUCUAAUGAGUGAGGGGUUGAUACAAAUCUGAGCAGCCGUCUACUCUUUGCAGCCUUCAAUGGGAGUAUACAAGGCCUAGCUUGUCGAGCCAAAUUUUUCCUUCCGCUGCGUCACCCAUGCACAACUUCACAAUUCCGUAAAGGUACAUACCAUUCUCAUAACUAUCUUCUGCCGCCUUCUUCAAGUGUUCCUGCCCUGUUUGUUGUUCGUUCGAAAAUACUCUUGGAUCCCUUUGAUAUAGUGAGCCUCAACAUUUCCACUUGCAAUGCAUUUUUCCAUGAGGUCUUGGUAUCUCGUUAGUGCUGCUAGUGGAUUCAUCGCCAGGGGCCUUAGGUUUAUUGGUUUAUAUUCUUGUAGACUCGGUGAUCUUGGGCUGCCUUGGCUAGAUGUGGUGAUGCUUGCAUAACAUUUCUCAUGGUAGUGCGUGAAAUCUUAGUAACUUGAGAGAUUAUAUGUCCGAGACGUCGUUUGGUAGUUCUUCAAGGGAAUAGUGUGUGUUUCGCAGCAUUUUUUGCAAGUUGUGUGUGAUUUUUAGGUUCAUACUUAUUCCUACUGUUGUUUAUAGGCUGGACGAUAUGUCGCGCUACGCGUGAAUUAAUUUUUAAAAUUUAUAAGACAAUCCUAAAGUGUUAAUAAAUUUUUCUGUAGCUAUUUUAUUUUGUAGAUUUUUUUUUGAACAAUAUCUAAUGUAGUUUGAAUAUUUUCUUUUACUUUUGUUAAUGAUAUUAGUUAGCUGGGUUUCUGAA